GUGGGGAAUAUUGGACAAUGGGCGAAAGCCUGAUCCAGCCAUACCGCGUGUGUGAAGAAGGUCUUCGGAUUGUAAAGCACUUUAAGUUGGGAGGAAGGGCAGUAAGUUAAUACCUUGCUGUUUUGACGUUACCGACAGAAUAAGCACCGGCUAACUUCGUGCCAGCAGCCGCGGUAAUACGAAGGGUGCAAGCGUUAAUCGGAAUUACUGGGCGUAAAGCGCGCGUAGGUGGUUUUGUAAGUUGGAGGUGAAAUCCCCGGGCUCAACCUGGGAACUGCCUCCAAAACUGCAUGACUAGAGUACGGUAGAGGGUAGUGGAAUUUCCUGUGUAGCGGUGAAAUGCGUAGAUAUAGGAAGGAACACCAGUGGCGAAGGCGACUACCUGGACUGAUACUGACACUGAGGUGCGAAAGCGUGGGGAGCAAACAGGAUUAGAUACCCGAGUAGUCC
RNAcentral lists this ribosomal RNA (450 nucleotides) under uncultured bacterium. RNAcentral's name for it is "bacterial SSU rRNA". It matches the Rfam family "Bacterial small subunit ribosomal RNA", at positions 354 to 796 of the family's 1533-position model. The record is from RNAcentral.